UGGCGGCGUGCCUAACACAUGCAAGUCGAACGGAGACUUUCGAAGAGUUUACUUAGAGAAAGUCUUAGUGGCGGACGGGUGAGUAACGCGUGGGUAACCUACCCAUAAAGCCGGGACAACCCUUGGAAACNAGGGCUAAUACCGGAUAAUCUUAGGGCCUGGCAUCAGCUUUAAGGAAAGAUGGCCUCUGAAUAUGCUAUCGAUUAUGGAUGGACCCGCGUCUGAUUAGCUGGUUGGUGGGGUAAAGGCCCACCAAGGCGACGAUCAGUAGCCGGCCUGAGAGGGUGAACGGCCACACUGGGACUGAGACACGGCCNAGACUCCUACGGGAGGCAGCAGUGGGGAAUCUUCCGNNAUGGACGAAAGUCUGACGGAGCAACGNNGCGUGUAUGAUGAAGGUCUUCGGAUUCUAAAGUACUGUCUUUGGGGAAGAACAAUUAACUUGAAAAUAUUGAGUUAGUAUGACGGUACCCAAGGAGGAAGCCCCGGCUAACUACGUGCCAGCAGCCGCGGUAAUACGUAGGGGGCAAGCGUUGUCCGGAAUUAUUGGGCGUAAAGGGGCCGUAGGCGGNUUUUUAAGUCUGGUGUGAAAGAUCAGGGCUCANCCCUGAGAGUGCAUCGGAAACUGGAGAUCUUGAGGACAGGAGAGGAAAGUGGAAUUCCACGUGUAGCGGUGAAAUGCGUAGAUAUGUGGAGGAACACCAGUGGCGAAGGCGACUUUCUGGACUGUAACUGACGCUGAGGGCGAAAGCGUGGGGAGCAAACAGGAUUAGAUACCCUGGUAGUCCACGCCGUAAACGAUGAGUGCUAGGUGUAGAGGGUAUCGACCCCUUCUGUGCCGCAGUUAACACAAUAAGCACUCCGC
Molecule: ribosomal RNA, 865 nt
Filed under: uncultured bacterium
Lineage: Bacteria
Description: bacterial SSU rRNA
Rfam family: Bacterial small subunit ribosomal RNA
Source: RNAcentral